Molecule: ribosomal RNA, 513 nt
Filed under: uncultured bacterium
Lineage: Bacteria
Description: partial 16S ribosomal RNA
Rfam family: Bacterial small subunit ribosomal RNA
Source: RNAcentral
AGCGAGCGUUAGCGGCGGGCCUAACACAUGCAAGUCGAGCGAGAAAGGGGCUUCGGCCCUGAGUAAAGCGGCGGACGGGUGAGUAACACGUAGGUAAUCUUCCUUCGAGCGGGGGACAACGGUCCGAAAGGACCGCUAAUACCGCGUACGUUCCCGAGGACCCUGGCCCUUGGGAGGAAAGCUGGGUCGCAAGAUCCGGCACUCGGAGAAGAGCCUGCGUCGCAUCAGCUAGGUGGGGGGGUAAUGGCCUACCAAGGCGAAGACGCGUAGCUGGUCUGAGGGGAUAAUCAGCCACACUGGGACUGAGACACGGCCCAGACCCCUACGGGAGGCAGCAGUGGGGAAUAUUGGGCAAUGGGCGCAAGCCUGAUCCAGCCACGCCGCGUGAGUGAUGAAGGCCUUCGGGUCGUAAAGCUCUGUGGGGAGGGACGAACCGCUGCACGUGCAUAGCGUGCAGCAUGACGGUACCUCCUUAGCAAGCACCGGCUAACUUCGUGCCAGCCGCCGCGGUAA